CUCAGCAUUUGUUCCUGUAAUCUUGACC
This 28-nucleotide non-coding RNA is filed under the name Cricetulus griseus (Chinese hamster). Lineage: Eukaryota; Metazoa; Chordata; Mammalia; Rodentia; Cricetidae. The record is from RNAcentral.